AGAGUUUGAUCCUGGCUCAGGAUGAACGCUAGCUACAGGCUUAACACAUGCAAGUCGAGGGGCAGCAUGUUGGUUGCUUGCAACCAACGAUGGCGACCGGCGCACGGGUGAGUAACGCGUAUCCAACCUACCCUUGUCCAUCGGAUAACCCGUCGAAAGGCGGCCUAACACGAUAUGCGGUUCACAGCAGGCAUCUAACGUGAACGAAAUGUAAAGGAGAAGGAUGGGGAUGCGUCUGAUUAGCUUGUUGGCGGGGUAACGGGCCACCAAGGCUACGGAUCAGUAGGGGUUCUGAGAGGAGGUCCCCCACGAUUGGAACUGAGACACGGUCCAAACUCCUACGGGAGGCA
Molecule: ribosomal RNA, 350 nt
Filed under: uncultured bacterium
Lineage: Bacteria
Description: bacterial SSU rRNA
Rfam family: Bacterial small subunit ribosomal RNA
Source: RNAcentral